RNAcentral lists this ribosomal RNA (253 nucleotides) under uncultured bacterium. Its description in RNAcentral is "partial 16S ribosomal RNA". It matches the Rfam family "Bacterial small subunit ribosomal RNA", at positions 524 to 776 of the family's 1533-position model. The record is from RNAcentral.
UACGUAGGUGGCAAGCGUUGUCCGGAAUUACUGGGCGUAAAGGGCGCGUAGGCGGCCUUCUAAGUCAGACGUGAAAUCCCCCGGCUUAACCUGGGAACUGCGUCUGAUACUGGGAGGCUUGAGUAUGGGAGAGGGAUGUAGAAUUCCAGGUGUAGCGGUGAAAUGCGUAGAUAUCUGGAGGAAUACCGGUGGCGAAGGCGGCAUCCUGGACCAUAACUGACGCUGAGGCGCGAAAGCUAGGGGAGCAAACGGG